CCCGCCCCCCCCCCCCCCCCCCCCCCUUUUCCCUCGCUGAGAGCCUGAUAGCCGCCUCCUCUCGGUGUCGUCGCCUCUUCAACGACCGGCCGGCGGCUCUUCGCGUCCUUCUCCCCCGGACGGCAACCUCCGCGGCUCCGGUCACCGACUCACAGUCACCGUUGAAGAUGGCGAGGAAUCAAUUCUAACAUGGAAGAAUCUAGUGAGGAUGAAGAUGACGAGGAAGAGAUGGAAGAGGGAUUACAUGGUUUUGAGAGUUAGAAGAUGCAAGGAUGUUCUACAGUUUUCUAUUAUGGAAGUGGCUUCAAGAAUUAUGAACUUUUAUGAACUUUUGAAUGCACAAAGAUGCAUAUUUGUUAUAAUGUUAAUAGGACAAUGUAAUUUGUAUUUUGUCUAAGUUUGCAGUUUUUAUUAUUGGGUUGUAAUUUUCAGCUGGACAACAAUGUUUCAUACAUUUUAUUUUCUUUCUAUUGGCUUGAAGCUGCAAUUUUUUUCUUUUUUAAUGUUUGUAGAUAUAUCCAAAUUUCAAAGUUUGAAACCACCACCAACACUAUCUAUUUAAAAUAGGCUAGUUAUAUCCUUAACAUUAACCAAUUAACCAAUUUAGAGAGCCCAUUAAGCUGUUGGGCCAUUUUUGCCCAUUUCUAGAUUCCAAACAAAAAAAAAAAAA
This is a non-coding RNA of Phoenix dactylifera (date palm), 670 nucleotides long. The record is from RefSeq and is a predicted model, not a curated record. NCBI's taxonomy places the organism in Eukaryota, Viridiplantae, Streptophyta, Magnoliopsida, Arecales, Arecaceae.